GAAAUGCGAUAAGUAGUGUGAAUUGCAGAAUUCAGUGAAUCAUCGAAUCUUUGAACGCACAUUGCGCCCCUUGGUAUUCCAUGGGGCAUGCCUGUUCGAGCGUCAUCUACACCCUCAAGCUCUGCUUGGUGUUGGGCGUCUGUCCCGCCUACGUGCGCGGACUCGCCCCAAAUUCAUUGGCAGCGGUCCUUGCCUCCUCUCGCGCAGCACAUUGCGCUUCUCGAGGUGUUGCGGCCCGCGUCCAGAAAGCAAUCGUUACCGUCUUUGACCUCGGAUCAGGUAGGGAUACCCGCUGAACUUAAGC
RNAcentral lists this unclassified non-coding RNA (304 nucleotides) under plant metagenome. RNAcentral's name for it is "partial contains 5.8S ribosomal RNA, internal transcribed spacer 2, and large subunit ribosomal RNA". The stretch from base 1 to 105 matches the Rfam family "5.8S ribosomal RNA", at positions 50 to 154 of the family's 154-position model. The record is from RNAcentral.